AAGUUAAAACAGCCAAAACGUAUCAGUUAAAUCACAAGCCUCACAACCUGAGCAAAUAAGCAUGGCCCACCUAGUAGGUAGAAAACCAUGCAGGGAUUAAGGCGUGAGCCACCGCGCCAGCCAAAAAUAAGGACUUAUUUUAGAAGAACCACAAAUGCAGCAGGGAGAAAAAUGGACACCCCUUCCCAGGACUGUCAUGAG
This 201-nucleotide long non-coding RNA is filed under the name Homo sapiens (human). RNAcentral describes it as "HSALNT0176678". The record is from RNAcentral. Lineage: Eukaryota; Metazoa; Chordata; Mammalia; Primates; Hominidae.